UACAGGGGGCGCAAGCGUUGCUCGGAAUUACUGGGCGUAAAGCGUACGCAGGCGGCUCGUCAAGUCGGGUGUGAAAGCCCAGGGCUCAACCCUGGAACUGCAUUCGAAACUGGCGGGCUUGAAUACGGGAGAGGGCAGCGGAAUUCCUGGUGUAGAGGUGAAAUUCGUAGAUAUCAGGAGGAACACCAGUGGCGAAAGCGGCUGCCUGGCCCGAUAUUGACGCUCAUGUACGAGAGCGUGGGGAGCAAACAGG
RNAcentral lists this ribosomal RNA (253 nucleotides) under uncultured bacterium. RNAcentral describes it as "partial 16S ribosomal RNA". It matches the Rfam family "Bacterial small subunit ribosomal RNA", at positions 524 to 776 of the family's 1533-position model. The record is from RNAcentral.